This 789-nucleotide ribosomal RNA is filed under the name Arenibacter sp. TBL_35. Its description in RNAcentral is "bacterial SSU rRNA". It matches the Rfam family "Bacterial small subunit ribosomal RNA", at positions 118 to 910 of the family's 1533-position model. The record is from RNAcentral. Lineage: Bacteria; Pseudomonadati; Bacteroidota; Flavobacteriia; Flavobacteriales; Flavobacteriaceae.
UAUAGAAUCUGCCCUGUACUGGGGAAUUGCCCAGAGAAAUUUGGAUUAAUGCCCCAUGGUAUGUUUAAGCGGCAUCGCUUUUACAUUAAAGGCUACGGUACAGGAUGACUAUGCGUCCCAUUAGUUAGUUGGUAAGGUAACGGCUUACCAAGGCAGCGAUGGGUAGGGGCCCUGAGAGGGGGAUCCCCCACACUGGUACUGAGACACGGACCAGACUCCUACGGGAGGCAGCAGUGAGGAAUAUUGGACAAUGGGCGGGAGCCUGAUCCAGCCAUGCCGCGUGCAGGAAGACGGUCCUAUGGAUUGUAAACUGCUUUUGUACGGGAAGAACAAGGGGCACGUGUGCCCUUCUGACGGUACCGUAAGAAUAAGGAUCGGCUAACUCCGUGCCAGCAGCCGCGGUAAUACGGAGGAUCCGAGCGUUAUCCGGAAUCAUUGGGUUUAAAGGGUCCGUAGGCGGGCCAUUAAGUCAGGGGUGAAAGUCUGCGGCUCAACCGUAGAAUUGCCCUUGAUACUGGUGGUCUUGAGUUAUGGUGAAGUAACUAGAAUAUGUAGUGUAGCGGUGAAAUGCAUAGAUAUUACAUAGAAUACCGAUUGCGAAGGCAGGUUACUAACCAUAUACUGACGCUGAUGGACGAAAGCGUGGGGAGCGAACAGGAUUAGAUACCCUGGUAGUCCACGCCGUAAACGAUGGAUACUAGCUGUCCGGAUGCAAAUCUGGGCGGCCAAGCGAAAGUGAUAAGUAUCCCACCUGGGGAGUACGUCCGCAAGGAUGAAACUCAAGGGAAU